GGAAAGGCCUGUGACUGAGAAAGCAGGCCUGGCUGCAGAAGAUGCCUCAGAAGAAGUGGGCUGGUAAGGAGAGACCUGGCUACAAACAUUACAAUGCCUCCCCACUCUGUGCAUACCCAUCAACUAUUUCAUCAGGCUGCUGGAGCAGAGGAGAAAAAGAGAUGUUAGAUCACUUCCUGCUGAGACACCAGCUGCCUUUUGUUCUCUCCAGCCUACAUGAAUUGUUUCAAUGCCAUCUGGUCAUGAUAAGAUCUAUAUCUAAAAAGUUGUGCAAUGAGAGAGAAAUUGGAGAAAUGCUAACACAGUGAGCCUCAAAACACCAGCAAGGAUAAAGUAAGGAAUUAGAAGAGAUUUUAAAAACUAUCUGGAAUGGAUUUUACUACUGCUGACAGAUUCAGUACAACGGCAUCUUAUGCAGAAGGUUCUAGAAGAAAUAUCAACUGCUGAUAUUUGGAAGUUAAUCUCUGAAGACCUGCUGGCUUUGAAUUGCCCUAAGAUUAUUAUCCAUUGUGCCAAAAAAUAAAAAGUAUAGUAAAUCUAUAAAGGACUUUUAAGGGAAUCAGAGAACUGGCUUUGUUACAUGCUGAAAAAAGUCACUCUGAAUCAGACAAAGAAAAAAAAAGGUGCAUACUGUCUACAAGAAGAAAAAGAGGAAGAGGGAAUGUCUAUUUCUAUUACUUGAUAUUUUAUUUUAUCAACUCAGUUGUACUUGGGCUACUGUGUAUUUAUUUGCAGAUUUAGUCAAAUUCUGUGGUUGCUUCAUAGUGAGCUUUGUUGAAAUUCUGAAUUUGUUUCUUCAAACAUGAGGAAGGAGGAUAGGAAAUAAGUAGAGACAUGUAUUUGGUUAUUUGUACCAACUUUUGUGCUCAUUUGUGGAACUUCUGCAAAGAUCUAUGGAAAAUUAAAUCACUUUGGAUACACCACUUUUUCUUCUUUAUAAUGCAAAGCAGAAUUUGCUCUUUUUUUCUAAGAUGGUCUAAGCUCAGUUAAUUAAAAGUUUGCAUUAUUGAAACCAAAUUGUGGUAAUAAUGAUUCCCCUGAAGAUAACUUUAUUGUAACAGGCUCCAGUCCUUUUAUAAUGAAAAGAGCCCUGAUGAAUUGCAUCAGAUAUCUAUCUGUUCCUGAGUUUUCUUCCCAUAAUGACCAACUAGAAGCUAUUGUGAAAAUGAAAUUUAGGACAUCACCUCUAUUAAAUCAUCUUGUUUGCAUUCUCUGGCAAUAGGAA
This is a long non-coding RNA of Crotalus tigris (Tiger rattlesnake), 1225 nucleotides long. RefSeq lists it as uncharacterized. The record is from RefSeq and is a predicted model, not a curated record. Lineage: Eukaryota; Metazoa; Chordata; Lepidosauria; Squamata; Viperidae. The transcript is spliced from 3 exons.